This 70-nucleotide transfer RNA is filed under the name Cavia porcellus (domestic guinea pig). It matches the Rfam family "tRNA". From Rfam's summary of the family: Transfer RNA (tRNA) molecules are approximately 80 nucleotides in length. Their secondary structure includes four short double-helical elements and three loops (D, anti-codon, and T loops). The record is from Rfam by way of RNAcentral. Lineage: Eukaryota; Metazoa; Chordata; Mammalia; Rodentia; Caviidae.
GGCUAGCUCAGUCGGUAGAGCAUGAGACUCUUAAUCUCAGGGUCGUGGGUUUGAGUCCCAACUUGUGUCA